CAACGGAAUCCCAAAAGCAGCUGUUUUCCUCUGAGUCUUCCAGCUGCACUUGGAUUCCGUUCCU
RNAcentral lists this microRNA precursor (64 nucleotides) under Python bivittatus (Burmese python). RNAcentral describes it as "Pbv-Mir-191_pre stem-loop". It matches the Rfam family "mir-191 microRNA precursor family", at positions 15 to 77 of the family's 91-position model. Lineage: Eukaryota; Metazoa; Chordata; Lepidosauria; Squamata; Pythonidae. The record is from RNAcentral.